RNAcentral lists this ribosomal RNA (509 nucleotides) under uncultured bacterium. RNAcentral describes it as "bacterial SSU rRNA". It matches the Rfam family "Bacterial small subunit ribosomal RNA", at positions 28 to 585 of the family's 1533-position model. The record is from RNAcentral.
AGCGAACGCUGGCGGCAGGCCUAACACAUGCAAGUCGAACGGUCCUUCGGGGCAGUGGCGGACGGGUGAGUAACGCGUGGGAACGUGCCCUUAGGUUCGGAACAACUCAGGGAAACUUGAGCUAAUACCGAAUGUGCCCUACGGGGGAAAGAUUUAUCGCCUUUGGAGCGGCCCGCGUCUGAUUAGCUAGUUGGUGAGGUAAAGGCUCACCAAGGCUACGAUCAGUAGCUGGUCUGAGAGGAUGAUCAGCCACACUGGGACUGAGACACGGCCCAGACUCCUACGGGAGGCAGCAGUGGGGAAUCUUGCGCAAUGGGCGAAAGCCUGACGCAGCCAUGCCGCGUGAAUGAUGAAGGUCUUAGGAUUGUAAAAUUCUUUCACCGGGGACGAUAAUGACGGUACCCGGAGAAGAAGCCCCGGCUAACUUCGUGCCAGCAGCCGCGGUAAUACGAAGGGGGCUAGCGUUGCUCGGAAUUACUGGGCGUAAAGGGCGCGUAGGCGGACAGUUU